Molecule: ribosomal RNA, 693 nt
Filed under: uncultured archaeon
Lineage: Archaea
Description: bacterial SSU rRNA
Rfam family: Archaeal small subunit ribosomal RNA
Source: RNAcentral
UAUUGGGAUUCNACUAAGCCAUGCGAGUCGUGAGGGUUCGGCCCUCGGCGAACGGCUCAGUAACACGUAGAUAAUUUGCCCUUAGGUGGAGGAUACCCUCGGGAAACUGAGAAUAAUACUCCAUAGAUUUAGAAUGCUGGAAUGCUUUUAAAUUGAAAGAUUUAUCGCCUAAGGAUAAGUCUGCGGACUAUCAGGUCGUAGUUAGGGUAAAUACCUGACUAGCCUACGACGGAUACGGGUUGUGAGAGCACUAGCCCGGAGAUGAUAUCUGAGACACGAUAUCAGGCCCUACGGGGCGCAGCAGGCGCGAAAACUUCGCACUGUGCGAAAGCACGACGAGGGAAUCCCAAGUGCUGGCUCGUAAGAGUCAGCUGUUUCUUUGUCUAAAAAACAGAGAGAGUAAGAGCUGGGUAAGACGGGUGCCAGCCGCCGCGGUAAUACCUGCAGCUCAAGUGGUGGCCGCUAUUAUUGGGCCUAAAACGUCCGUAGCCGGUUCUAUAAAUGCCUGGGUAAAUCGUACGGCUUAACCGUACGAAUUCCGGGUAGACUGUUCAACUUGGGACCGGGAGAGGCCAGAGGUACUCCUGGGGUAGAGGUGAAAUUCUGUAAUCCUAGGGGGACCACCAGUGGCGAAGGCGUCUAGCUAGAACGGGUCUGACGGUGAGGGACGAAGCCUGGGGAGCAACGGGAUUA